Molecule: unclassified non-coding RNA, 1050 nt
Filed under: uncultured Bordetella sp.
Lineage: Bacteria; Pseudomonadati; Pseudomonadota; Betaproteobacteria; Burkholderiales; Alcaligenaceae
Description: partial 16S-23S ribosomal RNA intergenic spacer
Rfam family: Bacterial small subunit ribosomal RNA
Source: RNAcentral
AGUUCGAUUCUGGCUCAGAUUGAACGCUGGCGGGAUGCUUUACACAUGCAAGUCGAACGGCAGCACGGACUUCGGUCUGGUGGCGAGUGGCGAACGGGUGAGUAAUGCAUCGGAACGUGCCUAGUAGCGGGGGAUAACUACGCGAAAGCAGUAGCUAAUACCGCAUACGCCCUUCGGGGGAAAGCGGGGACCUUCGGGCCUCGCAAUUAGAGCGGCCGAUAUCGGAUUAGCUAGUUGGUGGGGUAACGGCUCACCAAGGCGACGAUCCGUAGCUGGUUUGAGAGGACGACCAGCCACACUGGGACUGAGACACGGCCCAGACUCCUACGGGAGGCAGCAGGGGAAUUUGGACAAUGGGGGAAACCCCUGAUCCAGCCAUCCCGCGUGUGCGAUGAAGGCCUUCGGGUUGUAAAGCACUUUUGGCAGGAAGAAACGGCACGGGAUAAUACCCUGUGCAACUGACGGUACCUGCAGAAUAAGCACUGGCUAACUACGUGCCAGCCGCGGUAAUACGUAGGUGCAAGCGUUAAUCGGAAUUACUGGGCGCAGCGUGCGCAGGCGGUUCGGAAAGAAAGAUGUGAAAUCCCAGAGCUUAACUUUGGAACUGCAUUUUUAACUACCGAGCUAGAGUGUGUCAGAGGGAGGUGGAAUUCGCGUGUAGCAGUGAAAUGCGUAGAUAUGCGGAGGAACACCGAUGGCGAAGGCAGCCUCCUGGGAUAACACUGACGCUCAUGCACGAAAGCGUGGGGAGCAAACAGGAUUAGAUACCCUGAUAGUCCACGCCUCAAACGAUGUCAACUAGCUGUUGGGGCCUUCGGGCCUUGGUAGCGCAGCUAACGCGGUGAAGUUGACCGCCUGGGGAGUACGGUCGCAAGAUUAAAACUCAAAGGAAUUGACGGGGACCCGCACAAGCGGUGGAUGAUGUGGAUUAAUUCGAUGCAACGCGAAAAACCUUACCUACCCUUGACAUGUCUGGAAUCCCGAAGAGAUUUGGGAGUGCUCGCAAGAGAACCGGAACACAGGUGCUGCAUGGCUGUCGUCAGGCUCAGU